This 1005-nucleotide ribosomal RNA is filed under the name Triticum aestivum (bread wheat). RNAcentral's name for it is "partial small subunit ribosomal RNA". Lineage: Eukaryota; Viridiplantae; Streptophyta; Magnoliopsida; Poales; Poaceae. The record is from RNAcentral.
AUGGCGAAGGACAAGAAAGUUGAUAGGCUCAGCGCAUUGCCUGAUGACGUUCUAGUCAACAUUCUUGACCGGCUCAAUGUCCGUGAGGCUGCAAGAACCAGCAUCCUCUCCAGACGGUGGACUCGGCUCUGUGCCAAGCUGUCUCGGCUUAUAAUAAGCUCUCUGGACUUCCUGCCAAAGGGUGUGUCGUGCACCGGCAUAUCUGAUGAUGAAUUGAUCCGCAUCAAUGCAGCUGUGUUUCAAGCGACAGAUAGCAUAUUGACACGCAGAAAUCCUGGAGAGCACACCAUCCGCCUUCUGUCCACAACGUUCUACUUGAGAGAUGAUAUCCCCAUAUCCAUUGGGCGUGCUGUUGACCAUGCCAUGGCGGCACACUUGGUUGACAAUGUCAAAUUCAGUGUUAUGACAGUGAAGUAUGAGAUCAUUGACAUGGUUGAGGAUGAUCUGGUCACCUCUGCGAGAAAUUUCAUGUUCUUCUUUGAUGCCUGUCCAAGUGCAUUUGGUGGUCUCACUACCCUCGACCUAGAGAAUUUGAGAUUUGGUGAAUCAGACAUAUCCAACGUCCUCGUCACUUGCAAGUGCUUGAGGCAUCUGCGUUUGUACAAUUGUGACUCUGGUAUUUGCAGCACGCUGCAAGUUGAACACGCUCGUCUCAGGGAGCUUAGUAUUUUCCACUGUAUGGUUGAACGAGUUGAGCUGAACUGGCUCCCUCAACUCACAACUAUGGUCUUUGAAGGUUGGCUACAAUUCCAAGAUCCACUGUUCAUUGGUCAUGUCCCAUUGCUGGAGGUUGUAAGCCUCACAAAUCUUGCCCUUCGUUACCACAAGAUGGUGUUGUUAAGUGAGUUUCUUAGCGGUACCUCUAUACGAGAUCUAAAGUUGGCAUUUAAUUCCAAAAAGAUUUGGGUGCAGUCGGAAUACCCGACGCCAUGUCUGGCAUCUGUUUUCCGUCAGCUAAGGUUUAUGAAUCUACCUCAUCUUCCUGAAGGGUAUGAUCUCACCUAG